RNAcentral lists this ribosomal RNA (104 nucleotides) under uncultured bacterium. RNAcentral describes it as "partial 16S ribosomal RNA". It matches the Rfam family "Bacterial small subunit ribosomal RNA", at positions 1381 to 1482 of the family's 1533-position model. The record is from RNAcentral.
CGUCACACACCGCCCGUCACACCAUGGGAGCGGGUUCUGACCAGAAGUAGUUAGCCUAACCGCAAGGGAGGGCGAUUACCACGGCAGGGUUCGUGACUGGGGUG